Long non-coding RNA from Magallana angulata, 273 nucleotides. RefSeq lists it as uncharacterized. Lineage: Eukaryota; Metazoa; Mollusca; Bivalvia; Ostreida; Ostreidae. The record is from RefSeq and is a predicted model, not a curated record. The transcript has 3 exons.
AGAUACAAUCUACAGACCAAAUAUACAAAUGUGUUGCGAGGGACGAGUACAUGUAAUUAAUGAAGAAAUAACAAGCUGUGAAAAAGUAACAUGGGGCACAGAGAAUCAAACAGAUAAGGUCUGUGGAAAUAAACCUUACUCAUCGCAACACCACCAGUGUUGUGGUAACGUGGUUACAAGUUUAACAGAAAGAUGCCAAAGCAAGCAAGUGAACGACAUCCUGCGGGUUGUAAGGAGCGUUUUAAAAUUGUGGCUAAGAAAACCGAGGCAGGG